CAGAGCGCCCUCCUCUGCGGCAGCAAUCCACCGCAGCGGCUCCGCUCCGUCAUGGCCGUGUCCUACGACAUGCUCGCCGGGAACAAGUCCAAGCCCGCUGGACUUGGUGAAGAAGUACCCUUUGGAGGUCCACCAGUUCAUCAGUUUCCCCAUUUACUUUGUGAGCAAACAAGGCGUUUUGGGUGAAGGUGUCGCUGCUAAGCUUGAAUUCCAGGUUGCCUUGUUCUUGGACCCGUGGUGGUACGUAAUAGCCGAAGUAGUGGUGUAAGUGCUGCUGCCUUAAUUAGGUGACCUUUGUGAAGUGAACGUGGUUGAGGUUGUGGCGACCGGCUGGAUGGACAUGCUAUUUACAAUGUUGCUGUAUCGAGCGAUUGUGUUGGUCAGGUUCAGUUGUGGCUACUGGAGCAAUUGUUUUAUAUUUCCGUGCCAUGAAAGCAAGCGAAGUUGAGAAGCCACAAAGUUGGUCGUCCAUUUGGGCGUUGUUUCACCCAGGGCAACUAAAAUGUAGUAAUUAAUUCAGCAUUAGAGUGCUAGCAUGCCUAAAAAGAUGGAGAUGGUGGCCAACUUUUUUGUUAUUGUAUCGUGCUGAUGGUGGUGG
This is a long non-coding RNA of Lolium rigidum, 598 nucleotides long. RefSeq lists it as uncharacterized. The record is from RefSeq and is a predicted model, not a curated record. The transcript has 3 exons. Lineage: Eukaryota; Viridiplantae; Streptophyta; Magnoliopsida; Poales; Poaceae.